RNAcentral lists this microRNA (23 nucleotides) under Mus musculus (house mouse). RNAcentral's name for it is "Mmu-Mir-770_5p* (star (passenger))". Lineage: Eukaryota; Metazoa; Chordata; Mammalia; Rodentia; Muridae. RNAcentral also lists the same sequence under 1 other name. The record is from RNAcentral.
AGCACCACGUGUCUGGGCCACGU